AUACGGAGGGUGCAAGCGUUACUCGGAAUCACUGGGCGUAAAGCGCGCGCAGGCGGCUAUUUAAGUUGGAUGUGAAAGCCUACGGCUCAACCGUAGAACUGCAUCCAAAACUAUUUAGCUAGAGUGUGAGAGAGGAAGAUGGAAUUAGUUGUGUAGGGGUAAAAUCCGUAGAGAUAACUAGGAAUACCAAAAGCGAAGGCAAUCUUCUGGAACACUACUGACGCUGAGGCGCGAAAGCGUGGGGAGCAAACAGGAUUAGAAACCCUAGUAGUCC
RNAcentral lists this ribosomal RNA (274 nucleotides) under uncultured bacterium. RNAcentral's name for it is "partial 16S ribosomal RNA". It matches the Rfam family "Bacterial small subunit ribosomal RNA", at positions 523 to 796 of the family's 1533-position model. The record is from RNAcentral.